Molecule: long non-coding RNA, 317 nt
Filed under: Carica papaya (papaya)
Lineage: Eukaryota; Viridiplantae; Streptophyta; Magnoliopsida; Brassicales; Caricaceae
Description: long non-coding RNA (CPAP_LNC006657)
Source: RNAcentral
GGUACCAGUAAUGCGUUUCAGUUCCUCGAAAAAAAUUUAAGAAAAAUUAGGGACAGCCUGUAGGCGCACUGUAGGGCCGUAUUCAGACCCCGAAACAAGUAAGGACCCCUCACCCUAUUUCCUAUCACGGUAUUAAAGCUAAAUAAAUAAUUAAACUGUACUGUGUGACUUUAUAGAUGUAUAAUUGAUUAAGGUUGCCAAUGGAGCCCGAGUCUGAUACUGUAUUGGUCUGUUAUUGUUUGUUUUAAUUUCCAGUAUUAAAUGCAGCAUGAUAUUUGAUGUAAUUAUAUUAUGGCCUCGUAUGCAUGAAUCAUAGU